Molecule: ribosomal RNA, 253 nt
Filed under: uncultured bacterium
Lineage: Bacteria
Description: partial 16S ribosomal RNA
Rfam family: Bacterial small subunit ribosomal RNA
Source: RNAcentral
UACGGGGGGGGCAAGCGUUGUUCGGAAUUACUGGGCGUAAAGGGCUCGUAGGUGGUCAACUAAGUCAGACGUGAAAUCCCUCGGCUUAACCGGGGAACUGCGUCUGAUACUGGAUGGCUUGAGUUUGGGAGAGGGACGCGGAAUUCCAGGUGUAGCGGUGAAAUGCGUAGAUAUCUGGAGGAACACCGGUGGCGAAGGCGGCGUCCUGGACCAACACUGACACUGAGGAGCGAAAGCCAGGGGAGCAAACGGG